Non-coding RNA from Glycine max (soybean), 101 nucleotides. The record is from Rfam. Lineage: Eukaryota; Viridiplantae; Streptophyta; Magnoliopsida; Fabales; Fabaceae.
CACAAAUCAAGGUAUUGGCGUGCCUCAAUUUGAAGACAUGGUUAAGAUGAAAACCAGCCAUGUAAUUUUAAUUGAGCCGCGUCAAUAUCUCAUCUUGCACU